This 441-nucleotide ribosomal RNA is filed under the name Streptobacillus sp. canine oral taxon 370. RNAcentral describes it as "bacterial SSU rRNA". It matches the Rfam family "Bacterial small subunit ribosomal RNA", at positions 9 to 446 of the family's 1533-position model. The record is from RNAcentral. Lineage: Bacteria; Fusobacteriati; Fusobacteriota; Fusobacteriia; Fusobacteriales; Leptotrichiaceae.
GAGUUUGAUCAUGGCUCAGGAUGAACGCUGACAGAAUGCUUAACACAUGCAAAUCGAUGUUAAUUAAAUAAGCUUGCUUAAUUAAGAGACAUGGUGGACUGGUGAGUAACGUGUAAAGAACUUACCUCUUAGACUGGGAUAACCGUUGGAAACGACGGAUAAUACUAGAUAUUAUUAGAGUAGGGCAUCCUACAUUAAUGAAAGAGAGAUCACUAAGAGAGAGCUUUGCAUCCUAUUAGCUAGUUGGUGGGGUAAAGGCCUACCAAGGCGAUGAUAGGUAGCCGGCCCGAGAGGGUGAACGGCCACAAGGGGACUGAGAUACGGCCCUUACUCCUACGGGAGGCAGCAGUGGGGAAUAUUGGACAAUGGAGGCAACUCUGAUCCAGCAAUUCUGUGUGCACGAAGAAGGUUUUCGGAUUGUAAAGUGCUUUCAGUAGGGAA